UUCUGUACAGGAAAACGAAUGACAGAUUAUCAGAUUUCUGGGGUUAAUCCACUGGACAAUGGUGAUUUAGGAUCCAGGCUACAAAGACGUGAGGAAUGUUGCCAGAAAUAUAUGAUGAGUUGUUUGUCUUGCAAAUUACAGCUGAGAAUGUGCUAAAGAACCACUCUAAUGUCAUACACACCGAGUCCUUGUCUUGCAUUCGAGGCUUGUUUUAAGUUGCCUGCGAUCGAUGUAAAAGACUCAGGCAGCUAAAGCAAGUCUGGGACGCCAUAGACACCACGACCGAGACUGAAAGAUCGACAGGAAACAGGAAGUCCAUAUAUGGCCUCAACUCUUCAAUAUACAUAAUAAAAGCUGAGGUGUUAUGUAUAAAGGUGAGGUAGACCUCAGGUCUGAUUUAAUUAUGUUCUCUUUUAUUUCCUUGCACUUUUGAUUACCAAUUAAAGAUUUAUUGAAUAGCAGAGUCAUCUGCCAAUCAAGCUCAGUGGGCGGGAUCAGCAUUAACAUCUCAUCAUUGUGUUCAGUAAGUAAUGAAACACUCCAGGUUUUAUUCCUCUUACACUACAGCAAUUUAACAACAUCAUUACGUCACAACAUGCUUUUUAUCCAUUUAUAGUCACAUUUAAUAUCUGUGAAGCAAGUUAGUUCCUGUUCUUGCUUACGUUAUAGCAGCUAUAAACAUCACUUCCCUCACCAGACAAAAACACGCAGCUUGUUCUAUCAUGUUACCGAGAAACCUUAAAGAAGCGUAAACUCCUCUGUCAUGAAGACCUCUGAAAAUGUAACGUUACAGCUUCGCCUCUGACUGUUACACAGCGCUGACACUGGAGACUCCUUCCAGAAAUGUUAUAUCAGUAAAAUGAACUCAACAGGGUCGUGAAGAAAAAUUUCUGGAUGUGACAUCUAAACAUCUACCCAAUCAGGACGAGCAAGCGUCUUUCAUCUCCUGUCAAUCAGUUCAGAAUGCUCCGCCUCCUCACAGAAGGGUUCAGGAAUGUAUUUUGGAGAUGUGGCUUUAAAACAACAAACUUCUUCUGAAAUCAUGAGUUCAAUGUAAAACCCUUAAAGGAGCUCACGUUUGUUCUGCUGUAAGGUUCUGUGUAGAACACGACAGGAUGAAACAGAGGAUUUGUCUAUCAGGAAGGAUUCUAAGUAACAUGUUAGGAACCUGGUUCUCUCAAAGCACACACACACUAUUUAUUUAGAGAGAAAGACAAAUGUAUAAUUAAUGUUUAACGUUUUUACAAUCCACUGAUAAAGCAGGAAUGAGAGAGAGAGAGAGAGAGAGGGAGAGAGAGAAACAUUAGAAAACUGAUUUAUGUAGUCCAUAAAAAAGAGAGGGCGGGUCAUAAACAGGAAGUAAUUAUAAUGUUGUUGGCUGUGUUUUAAAUAUGUUCAUUACUCAUACUGAACUUCUCUGUAUACAGAAUGAACAGGAGUUAGAGAAUCAUGAAUCAUUCUCAAAUGAUUCGUAAGGUUUUUUUUAAAUGACUCAUUAAGGUGAAUGAAUCCAUGUCAUUGCUGUACAUUUCUCCCACUUCUUCACUCACUGGACACAGAUUUGACUCUGGCAUCAGAAAAAUAUUUAUUUAUUUAAAUUUUUACACAGGAUUCAUUUAGGUUACUUUAUGUAAUUUACUUAUUUAUUUACUUAACAACUCUUAUUUUCACUUUUAACCCAUGAAUAAUUUUUUUUGGACUCAUGAUUUAUUUUCAAACAUGUUUGAACACGGUUCUUUUCUGUUUAAACACAUCUCAUGUUUUUACAUGACUCAUUUAUUCUGCCUUAAGUUUUGACUUAAGAUCCACUAAUCUUUUCCCAUGUGUGUUAAUUAAAUCCAGUUCAUUUAUUAUCUACAGUUGCUUAUUAAACCUGAUUCAUGAUCUGUGAGUCAGUGAAUCAUUUGAGCCAUGUCAGAGUUCGGCUCAGUGAAUCAGUGAGUGAGUGUACUGGUUCCAGUUUCAGGUGGAGAUCUGCAGUGUUUCAGUGGAUCAGAAAAGUGUGUGUGUGUAAGUGAGGAGCCAUAAUGAUCCUGAACAAGGAUGUGGAUGAACAUUUAUCUGAACUGAUCUUCAGCACUUGCAGGAAUGUUGGGUUUGUGUUCUCUGUGGUUCAUUUCAUCACCAACACAAAGUCCUUGUACACUUUGAUUUAACAAACCUCUGAUAUAAAUGAUAAAUAUUAACCCUGAAUCUGAGCAGCGACGUCAUUGUGCACGCCUCCAUCUCGUCUGCUUUAAAAUGCAGAAUAUUUGGCAGUGAAACAGUAAUGUUCACCAGCUCCUCCAUCAGGAAUCAGAAACAGAGAGACAUGACCUCGGCCUCAGGCUCAUGUCCUGUUGGCUCACACUUCAAAGAUUCACAGAGUUAAAGUUAAUCCAGAUGAUAAACUUUAACAUGAAGCAAAAUCAGAGAAAUUAACAGCUAAAGGAAGUGAAUCAGCUUCAUGUGCAUCUUUUUAUGAAGCAGGUGGAUUUUUUUUGGUAUGCUGAAACCCCUGUGUUUGAUCAGACUGAGCAUUUGGAGAAAAACAGACAAAUGAGUCGAUUCACUGAAAAGAAUUUAAAUUCCUACCACUAUUUCCAGUCCAGGAAGGAGACCUGAUGAUCUGAAUUUACAUUUAUCCUUAAAAAGAAAAAAAAAAAAAACAACUUAACUUCGGUGUCAUUGUAAAUGAUGAAUAUUAGCACACUUGUUUUUCAACAUGAAAUGAAGAAUAUCAAUCUCUUUAUUUCUUUAUGUUCAGGAGUGUUGUGAUGAAUCGUCAUGUAUCUAACACUGUGGUUUUCUGCUUAAAAGUCUUCAUGCCUUCAUUCUGGUUGUAUGAAGUUUCAUGUGAGGAGUUUUGUUUUUCUCUCCCCCGUUUUUCACAUCUCAGAGUUAAACUUGGGCAUCUUUUAUUUAAAUGAAAGAGACAUUAAACCAUAUUGCUCACUAAAAUAAAGAGAACUGAGUGAAAAGUGUAAAUCUCGGAUCCUCGUGAGGAGGUCAUUAGUGUGUGAUAUGUACCUUCAUUACUGUUAUUAAAAUAUAAUUAUGAUAA
Molecule: RNA transcript, 3043 nt
Organism: Neoarius graeffei (lesser salmon catfish)
Lineage: Eukaryota; Metazoa; Chordata; Actinopteri; Siluriformes; Ariidae
Gene: fev
Gene name: FEV transcription factor, ETS family member
Exons: 2
Source: RefSeq, a predicted model, not a curated record